This 485-nucleotide ribosomal RNA is filed under the name uncultured bacterium. Its description in RNAcentral is "partial 16S ribosomal RNA". It matches the Rfam family "Bacterial small subunit ribosomal RNA", at positions 28 to 523 of the family's 1533-position model. The record is from RNAcentral.
GACGAACGCUGGCGGCGUGCUUCAUACAUGCAAGUCGAGCGGGGUCCAUCCAGUGGCAACACUGGUGAAGACCUAGCGGCGAACGGGUGAGUAACACGUGAGGAACCUGCCCCAGAGACCGGGAUAACCCUCCGAAAGGAGAGCUAAUACCGGAUGCCCCCACCGGAUCGCAUGGUCUGGUGAGGAAAUGGAUUCCGCUCUGGGAGGGCCUCGCGGCCUAUCAGCUUGUUGGUGAGGUAACGGCUCACCAAGGCGUCGACGGGUAGCUGGUCUGAGAGGACGGUCAGCCACACUGGGACUGAGACACGGCCCAGACUCCUACGGGAGGCAGCAGUGGGGAAUCUUGGACAAUGGGCGCAAGCCUGAUCCAGCCAUGCCGCGUGAGUGAAGAAGGCCUUCGGGUUGUAAAGCUCUUUUGUCAGGGACGAUAAUGACGGUACCUGAAGAAUAAGCCCCGGCAAACUUCGUGCCAGCCGCCGCUGUAA